RNAcentral lists this long non-coding RNA (367 nucleotides) under Mustela putorius furo (domestic ferret). RNAcentral describes it as "lncRNA (ENSMPUG00000024096.1)". The record is from RNAcentral. Lineage: Eukaryota; Metazoa; Chordata; Mammalia; Carnivora; Mustelidae.
GUUGUACUCUAUGAGCUGUCAUCCACCGCCUUGUUUAAUCCCUGGGAGCCCUCUGUGAGAUGGGGGCGAGUGUCUCCAUCUCACAGCCAGGGAGACAGUGUCAGAGAGGGUGAGUGACCUGCCCAGGGUCACACAGCCCACACGUGCUGUGCAGAAUCAAGAGCCCUGGCUUUUCCCACGAUGUAACACACACUGGGAGGUAAGCAACUUCCAGCAAUCGUUGCCCGCCUGAACGAUCCUGAGAGCACAGAGGAGGAAAGCCGGGGAGACCUGCCAAGAAAUACCAAAUGUUGUCACCAAAUGAAGCUCUUUGACAGAUCGGUACCACCAGAGUGGGCGCACACGGGAGCUUCCGAAGAGCCAAGAC